CGAACAUAUCACGAUGAGACACCGUUUCCCAUAAGAUCACAGCGGUUAAGCAACUUCGAACCUGGUCAGUAUUUAGAUGGGUGACCUUAGGAAUACCAGGUGAUGUAAG
Molecule: non-coding RNA, 109 nt
Organism: Acanthosepion pharaonis
Lineage: Eukaryota; Metazoa; Mollusca; Cephalopoda; Sepiida; Sepiidae
Source: the annotation of a GenBank genome assembly